Molecule: transfer RNA, 90 nt
Organism: Chaetomium globosum CBS 148.51
Lineage: Eukaryota; Fungi; Ascomycota; Sordariomycetes; Sordariales; Chaetomiaceae
Rfam family: tRNA
About the family: Transfer RNA (tRNA) molecules are approximately 80 nucleotides in length. Their secondary structure includes four short double-helical elements and three loops (D, anti-codon, and T loops). Further hydrogen bonds mediate the characteristic L-shaped molecular structure. tRNAs have two regions of fundamental functional importance: the anti-codon, which is responsible for specific mRNA codon recognition, and the 3' end, to which the tRNAs corresponding amino acid is attached (by aminoacyl-tRNA synthetases). tRNAs cope with the degeneracy of the genetic code in two manners: having more than one tRNA (with a specific anti-codon) for a particular amino acid; and 'wobble' base-pairing, i.e. permitting non-standard base-pairing at the 3rd anti-codon position.
Source: Rfam
GCCGACGUGGCGCAAUCGGUUUAGCGCGUCAGACUUUUAAUCCCCAAUUGAGAGAUCUGAAUGUUGCGAGUUCGAGUCUCGCCGUUGGCG